Molecule: RNA transcript, 1779 nt
Organism: Pygocentrus nattereri (red-bellied piranha)
Lineage: Eukaryota; Metazoa; Chordata; Actinopteri; Characiformes; Serrasalmidae
Gene name: B-cell receptor CD22-like
Exons: 12
Source: RefSeq, a predicted model, not a curated record
GGUAAAUGGUGACCACAUCUAAAUUAAUACAUCAGUGCUGCCUGUGUUCUCAUCAGUUGUUAAGAAGACACUGGUGAUGAGCCUUGUUAAAGGACGGCAUUAAUGUGAUCAUCACCCAGAAUGGCUCUUCAUCUGAUCCUUCUGCUCAUGAUUAUGGGAGCUUUUGGAACAGAGUGGAGUGUGAAGUACAACCAACAGGAAAUCUGUGCUUUAAAAGGAUCCACAGUGUUUAUGAACGGAACUUUUACUCACCCAGAAGGUCUCACAGUGACAGAGACUUUCUGGACUGUAGAUCCAUCUGAGAAACCUGAUCUGUCUAAAAGCCCAGAUUACUCUGGCAGAGUCGAGUAUUUAAGUACUAAACAGAAACAAUCCUCCCUCAAACUGAGUGAUCUGAUGAAGAAGGAUGAAGAAAAGUUCUUCUUCAGAAUCAUAACAAAUGUAGAAAAAGAAAGAUGGGUGGGUCAACCUGGAGUUCAGCUCAGAGUUACAGAGCUCCAUGUAGAAGCUCCUGAAGAAGUGACCGAGGGACAAACAGCAGAUCUGACAUGUAAGACCACCUGCAGUCUGACUGACCCAACAUUCAUCUGGUACAAAAAUGGACAUCCUUUAACCACAAAGACCAUCAAGAACAACCAGCUCCACCUGCAGACGGUCAGCAGUGAGGAUGUAGGCAGUUAUAGCUGUGCUGUAAGAGGAUCUCAACACCUCCGCUCUACUGCUCACAGCCUCAGAGUCAGAUAUCCUCCAAAGAAUGUCUCUGUGUCCAUCAAUCCCUCUGGUGAAAUAGUGGAGGGCAGUUCAGUGACUCUGACCUGCAGCAGUGAUGGAAACCCACCUGUGAAGAUCUACACCUGGUUUAAGGGAACAAUAUCAGUAGGAGAAGGAAAAACCUACAGCAUUCCCAACAUCAGAUCUGAGGACAGUGGAGAAUACACAUGCCAGAGUCGGAAUGAUCAUGGAGAGAGAAGAUCCACUGCUGUGUAUUUAAAUGUUCUCUAUCUUCCAAAGAAUGUCUCCGUGUCCAUCAGGUCCUCUGGACACACAGUGGUGGGCUUUUCAGUGACUCUGACCUGCAGCAGUGAUGGAAACCCACCUGUGAAGAUCUACACCUGGUUUAAAGAAGAUGGAACCUCACCUGUAGGAUCUGGACACAGUUACAGUCCUCUACAGAGUGGAUCUUACUACUGCGAGGCUCAGAAUGAACAUGGAGCUCAGAGAUCAGAUCUGGUGCCAGUCGAUUUAAACGGUCACUCAGUGAUUCUGUAUGGAGCUGCUGGAGUCGGACUUUGUGGGGUUGCAGUUCUUCUCUCUGGGUUUUUCUGGAUGAGGAGGAAGAGGCAGAGCAGAAAUGUGGAUGAACCAGACUAUGUGAACACAGGCCUCAGGGUCAAGUCCCCUGAUGACGACUCUUGCGGUGUUAAUGUCUACGAGAAUGUGACAGUGAGUCAAUACAGAAAGCAGGUCUCAGAGCCCCGCCUCCUGAUGACCACUCAUCCAGCGCUGAAGACUAUGAGAACAUGACGGGCUCAGGACUCGAUGCUCCGCCUCCUGAUGACGGCUCAUCCAGCGCUGAAGACUAUGAGAACAUAACCGCUUAAAAUGAGAAAACAUCCCAGAUUUUCCACGUGGUCUCAGACGUUUGGACCCCAAAAGCUCAAGAUUCUCUUCUUUUAAGAUGGAAUUUGCAUCAUAUGCUUCACUCAGUAAUAUCACUCAUUAAAAUGCCAUCAAUCUGUAUCGAUUCUAUUAAAUCCUUCUACAUAUUUUAUUCUUGUA